This 460-nucleotide ribosomal RNA is filed under the name uncultured bacterium. RNAcentral describes it as "partial 16S ribosomal RNA". It matches the Rfam family "Bacterial small subunit ribosomal RNA", at positions 338 to 795 of the family's 1533-position model. The record is from RNAcentral.
CCUACGGGAGGCAGCAGUGAGGCAUAUUGGUCAAUGGACGAAAGUCUGAACCAGCCAAGUAGCGUGAAGGAUGACUGCCCUCUGGGUUGUAAACUUCUUUUAUAAAGGAAUAAAACGAGGCAAGUGUGCCUUUUUGCAUGUACUUAAUGAAUAAGGAUCGCCUAACUCAGUGCCAGCAGCCGCGGUAAUACGGAGGAUCCGAGCGUUAUCCGGAUGUAUUGGGUUUAAAGGGAGCGUAGAUGGGUUGUUAAGUCAGUGGUGAAAGUUUGCGGCUCAACCGUAGAAUUGCAAUUGAUACUGGCAGUCUUGAGUACAGUAGAGGUAGGCGGAAUUCGUGGUGUAGCGGUGAAAUGCUUAGAUAUCACGAAGAACCCCGAUUGCGAAGGCAGCUUACUAAACUGUGACUGACAUUGAUGCUCGAAAGUGUGGGUAUCAAACAGGAUUAGAUACCCUAGUAGUC